GUAUAUUUACUUUUACUACCAACUGAUAAAUUAAAACAAUCUUUACCAUUCAGUGAUAACAAGCACUUUAUUUUACAUUUUAAUAUUUUAUGAUGUAUUUAAAUGAGUAGUUAUUGUUGCAAACUCCAUUAGAAAUUUGAAUUGAGAUCAGUUUUGGAAAAAGGGAAAGGGGGAUGUGAAAAAAUUAAAUUUUUCUCAUUUCAGAUUUCAUAAAUAAAAAGAAAAAUUCUUCAAACAUUUUUUUGAGAGGAUUAAUAUUCAACAGCAUAGUGAAUUGCUCAAAGGCAAAAAAAUAUUUUAAGUUCAUUAGACCACAUUCAUUCUGUGUCAGAAACCUAUGCUGUGUCAACUAUUUAAUCACAAUCCAAAUUUAGAGCUGAAUCCAACUUGAAUGUUGUGUCCAUACUUGCCCCAACCGUUCAGGGUUCAACCUCUGCGGUCGUAUAAAGCUGCGCCCUGUGGAGCAUCUGGUUUCAUUUAGGUUAU
This 486-nucleotide long non-coding RNA is filed under the name Mytilus galloprovincialis (Mediterranean mussel). The record is from RNAcentral. Lineage: Eukaryota; Metazoa; Mollusca; Bivalvia; Mytilida; Mytilidae.